GAUGUUUUUAAAUUGUUUUUGGUCGAUUUUGCUUUGUUUUUGAAACAAUUUCAUUUAUUUGACGAAAACAUGCUUUUUUUUAAUUAUUACAUAAAAACCUCAGAAAAGUAGAGCUUUCACCACUUUAAAGGACAUAUUAUUUUUUUUAGCUUACUGCAAUAAAGAAGGUAAAAAGUGAAAAGGUUUGUUGCAAGUUGAAUAACUUCAAAAUUAACUGAAACACUUAAUUUUUUUGCUUUUGGAUCUAAGCGACAUUUAAAUUGUCUCUCUUAAAACAUUAACAGUUAAGUGUGAUUUGCUGAUUACUCAAAGGAUAUUUAAAUUUAAACACUAAGGUCGGGUUUAUAGAACAUUUUUUGAUUCUGAAUUAAGUUAAUAUCAAAAUUAACUUAACAUCGCCAUCAAAUUGAUCACGGUUUACAUAUGCGUUUUUAAUCAAAUUUUAAUUGUGAUUAACUAAUUCGAAUUAAAUUGACAUUUGACGGGGUUGGCACAACUGAUUAAGUUCAGUGGCUAUUUUCACGAGUGUUUUUAUAAUUCUCUCCCGUGUGGUCUGUGUGUGCGCUUGUGCAAAUUACAUUUAAAAUUUAAAAUGACGGAGGCAAAGGUGCACCGAGAAAGAACAAAGAACUUUACCGAAAGGGAAAAGGAAAUUGCUCUAGAUAUUAUAAACAGGUAUGUAGCUACUUUGGCAUAAAUUAACGAUUAUUGUAGGUUAGGUUUGUACGUCUCCUGAGUCUGGAAUUUGGUGCAAAACACAAUUCUAACAUUUUUUUAAAUCGUAUGUUUAGGUUUCAAACAUGCACCUAAUUUUUUUCCACAUGAUUUUUGCACUGCACUUUAAUCCAACCAUUUUUUUCAAAUAUGACAUUAUAUUCCUUCUUUUACGUUAUCCUACAUCCACCUCUGCCUUUCCUUUAGAUAUCAAAACAAAAUAGAAAAUAAAGAAACCGACGGUGUUUCCCAAAAGGAGAGAAAAGACGCAUGGGAAAAGGUGGCUGAAGAAUUUAAUUCAGCAUCAUCAACAGCACCACGAACAGGAAAGCAGAUGAAAGUGCUUUGGUCCAAUUUACGCCGGACAGCUAAAAAAAAUAUUGCUAAAGAAAAUAAAAAAAGAUACUUAGAUGAGACGAAUGAACUGGGAAAUAUAGCAGAGCUUAAACGAAAAAAAAAUGAAGAUAAGAAAAACAUUUCGAAAACUGGGGGUGGAACGUUCGAGAGCCAAUUAACUGACGUGGGGGCUAGAGUCUUAGCAAUGGUCGAGCCACAGGCAAGGCCCUUACCAAAUCUAUUUGAUGAUGACAAUAUUUACCACAAAGAUAUAGUACUAUUAACUCAAGAUCAGGAAAUAUCCCCUCCUGUCCUGGAACCUGUUGAAGGACACUCUAAUGUAAAUAUUUCUGAUCUCCCCAUUUACCUUGAAGAUGAAUGUGUUCCCCCAUCCGAAACCGUUUGUGAA
Long non-coding RNA from Tribolium castaneum (red flour beetle), 1459 nucleotides. RefSeq lists it as uncharacterized. Lineage: Eukaryota; Metazoa; Arthropoda; Insecta; Coleoptera; Tenebrionidae. The transcript has 4 exons. The record is from RefSeq and is a predicted model, not a curated record.